CUCUCUCUGUGUACAUAUAUAAAAAAUCUAUUCCCUUUCUCUGUAAAGGGAGUCUAAUUUUCACGCCUUUUGCGACCUACGAGCGACGGAGCAGUGAUCCACGGAGAGAGGGAGAUAGAGAAAGAAGUAUAUUUCAUGGGCCUUCAUCUUCUGUUGUUCUUCAAUGGCCAAAUCUCUCUUCUUCUCUUUAUCCUUUCCUAUCAACACUAGCACCAAUCUUCUUCUUCUUCUUAUUCUUCAUCGUUUACCCAUUACCGGACUUCACCUGCUCC
Molecule: unclassified non-coding RNA, 272 nt
Filed under: Hevea brasiliensis (rubber tree)
Lineage: Eukaryota; Viridiplantae; Streptophyta; Magnoliopsida; Malpighiales; Euphorbiaceae
Source: RNAcentral